AAUAAUUUUAAAGAUAUAAUAUAAUUUAUAAAUUAAUAAAACAUUUAUUUAUUAGUAAAGGUGAUUAAAAAUACUAUUUAAAGUAAAGUACUGUAAAGGAAUAUAUAAAAUUUUUAUUAAGUAGUAUAUUUUAC
RNAcentral lists this ribosomal RNA (134 nucleotides) under Pomacea insularum. Its description in RNAcentral is "partial large subunit ribosomal RNA". Lineage: Eukaryota; Metazoa; Mollusca; Gastropoda; Architaenioglossa; Ampullariidae. The record is from RNAcentral.